AGUGAACGCUGGCGGUAGGCCUAACACAUGCAAGUCGAACGGCAGCACAGUAAGAGCUUGCUCUUACGGGUGGCGAGUGGCGUACGGGUGAGGAAUACAUCGGAAUCUACUUUUUCGUGGGGGAUAACGUAGGGAAACCUACGCUAAUACCGCAUACGACCUACGGUUGAAAGCAGGGGAUCUUUGGACCUUGUUCGAUUGAAUGAGCCGCUGUCGGAUUAGCUAGUUGGCGGGGUAAAUGCCCACCAAGGCGACGAUCCGUAGCUGGUCUGAGUGGAUGAUCGCCGGCACUGGUGCGUGGACCCGGUCCUGACUCCUACGGUAGGGACCAGUCUGGAAUAUUGGCCAAUGGGCGCAAGCCUGAUCCAGCCAUACCGCGUGAGUGAAAAAGGCCUUCGGGUUGUAAAGCCCUUUUGUUGGGAGUGAAAAGCAGCAGGUUAAUACCCCGCUGUACUGACGGUACCCAAAAAAUAAGCACCGGCUAACUUCGUG
Molecule: ribosomal RNA, 492 nt
Filed under: uncultured bacterium
Lineage: Bacteria
Description: partial 16S ribosomal RNA
Rfam family: Bacterial small subunit ribosomal RNA
Source: RNAcentral